This 73-nucleotide transfer RNA is filed under the name Ailuropoda melanoleuca (giant panda). It matches the Rfam family "tRNA". From Rfam's summary of the family: Transfer RNA (tRNA) molecules are approximately 80 nucleotides in length. The record is from Rfam by way of RNAcentral. Lineage: Eukaryota; Metazoa; Chordata; Mammalia; Carnivora; Ursidae.
GCCUGGAUGGCUUAGUUGGUAGAGCAUGGGACUCGCAAUCUCAGGGUCUUGAGUUGAAGCCCCACAUUGGGUA